Long non-coding RNA from Rosa rugosa (rugosa rose), 3279 nucleotides. RefSeq lists it as uncharacterized. The record is from RefSeq and is a predicted model, not a curated record. Lineage: Eukaryota; Viridiplantae; Streptophyta; Magnoliopsida; Rosales; Rosaceae. The transcript has 3 exons.
CUCUUGAAAGAAAACCUUCUCUGAAAAUUUCCAACACUCAAAGUUGAUUUCGGAGCUGCUCUCCGCCUCAACAAAAACCACGCCCUCCGCAUUGCAAUUGAUUUGGAGCUCAACAAAAACCAUCCUCGUUUUGCGCCAUGGGGGUUCCGGUUUGCCUCCGGUAGAAGUAUCCGUUCAUCUCGUUUCUUUGAGCUCAGGACAAGCCUCUAUCUCUCUCUCUCUCUCUCGUUUUUACUCUCUCAGUAAUUUCGUCGAACACCUUCUUUGCAUCUUCGAUUUCCUACUUUCUUCUCACUUCCUGCAUUUUGUUGAUUCACAUUUUUGUGUCUCAGCUCGUUUUGAAUUUCCUAUUGAUUUUGCGGUUUGAUUGUGUGGACUGAUUGUGAGGGCCAAGAAAUAUUGGCUUCGUUUCUCAGGAAAUAGCGAGUGACCUAUGAAUUUAACUUCUGGUGCUUUUCUUUCUAUUCUAGAAAAGAAAAUAUAAACUUCACAGCAUUGAGCAAAAUCUAAUUAGUUGGCUGUUUGUUCUUUUUGAGUUGAUUGGUAUGCUGUUUAUUCAGCUGGAAUUUGGAUAUUGAGAGUAGGAUUGAUGGGCCGUGUGAGUUUAAUGCAGAGGCAUAUAACUAUUUUUGUGCAUAUGUGUGUGUGUUGUGUACACAUUUAGUACAAUUCUGAUUCUUUUGAAUAUGGAUACAAGCUGCAGAUUUGAUAUCUUGGGCUUUAGCUUAUGUGGUUCCAGGUGGUACUUUCAUUUUCGUGGUGUUGUUCUGGACUUUGUGUUUAAGAGAAAAGCCAUGUGUUCAUUUUAGUGGUAUCUGAUAUGAAUACAAUAUGGAAAUGGCUCCCUGUUUGAGACAUGCAACUUUUUUUUGAAAUCAGUGGUUAUUGACAUUGUAUAAAUGUGUAAUCAUGUCCGAAACUUACUUGGGGAAAUAGGCUUGUCUGUGGCUGCAUUUUGCAUUGCCAUUUGCAGAGGUUUACUUAAUUAAUGGCAUUUUGCAUUGCAAUUUGCACAAGUCUUACUACUGUAGUUUCCAUAAUCCACACCAUUGGCAUUGGCUAUAUGUAAUGUAGACAUAGGUCCCUCCCCCGCCCUGUCUUACCUGCUAUGCUGUUAGGCUACUCACGAUUCAGAUAUAGAAUGGUGCCAGAGGCCAAAUCGAAACUCUUGUUAUGAAUGACCUUAUGUAAUCAUUAUGAUUUGUACAAUUACAACUUCUAUCUCAACAAGUCAUAGUUGCUUGCCUUGGCUUGAUUUGCAUUGCGGUGGGAUUGGCAAUGGCCAAGGGCACCCUCUAUGUUCUAUUGUUCUGGGGACCAAAAGAAAAUGAAAAACAUGACCUUUCGUUAUCUUCAGACUUCAUAAUCUUAAGUCUAUAUUGUUCAGACUUCAGAGGUUUUCCUAGUCAGUCUGAGGAACCAUAGAAGUUAAUUCUCAAGCUAGGAGCUGUUUGAGGAAUGAGGUACAGGAAUCAAGAUACAAGUAAUGUUGAUAUGUACAGGUUCUAUGUUCUGGUUACUUUAAGUAUUGAACUCCUUUGUAGUUUUUAGCAAUCGAUACUUGGAGUAAUUAGGUCCUUCCCUAUUGUAGUGUGUUUGCCAUUGGGAGUGUUUCCAAGAAUAUUCAACAUGUGUAUACAAUCAAAUUAGAAGCCCAGUUCCAACAAUGGCAAACAACAUCCCUUGCCAAAUGUUAUAAGCUGUUCUUCUUAUGUAUAGUUCAACUUUCCUGAUUUUUAACCAUUCCUAUUAUUUUAAGCUCUCAAACCGCGAGCAAUUGAUUUUGUUUAGUUCAUGGGAUAUGUGUGAGAGUUGAUGGUCGCCUAUAGUAAAAAGUGGGAAUUAAGCUACCAAUCUGGUUUCCGUUUACUUUUGCAUUUCAAGAAGCACCAGGGGGUUAUUUGCUGCUCAUUGUUAGAAUCAGGGUGUGAUGGGCAAGUAGCAUUUAUAUCCUCACACUGCAUACAUGUGAACUCCUUUGAUGUGCUGAGAUUGAGCUUGCACUAUAUUGGAUUAGGCAGUGAACCUUGAACCUAUGUGUGCAUUUCUUGUACAAUUUUUGUGAUAAAUGCUUAGUUUUCUAUCUUUGGACUUUCUCUUACUUUUAAACAUACUGAAGCUGAUGAGAUACGGAGUUGGUUGUUGAAGUAUCCUAUAAGGGAAAUAUGAGGAUUAUAAUCAUAGAGUAACAUUUGCCUGAAGAUGGGGAGGGAAGGAGGGUCCUAUGAGCAUGAUGGGCAUUGGGGUUAUUGUUUCUUAAACUAUUUUGGAAAUGCCAGGAAGAUAGUCGUAGGACAUAUAAUUAAAUAGGCACUUGGUCCCCAACCUCAAUGCACCAGUUUUCAUGUCUCUGGGAUAUUGAAUGAAGAUGUUAUAGUUAGUGACAUUAAUAUAUUAUUUCCUUAAUUAUCCAUUUGCCAUGCUUUGAGGAUAUGAUUUUGACUUUGAUUUUUUACUUUAUACAGAAUACCAUGGAAUAGUGUCCCUUCCAAUUCUGAAUAGAUAAGAUAGCUGACGUUCAUUGUUAGGUUAAUGUCAUGAAAUUUCCACAGAUUGCACUAUUUUCUUCCUUCUUGAUGUUGGGAUAGAGAUCUAUUUACAUUUUUAUGAAGAACUUAUUGUCUCGAUAACUUGACUGUUGGAAUGGUGAAAAUCUUAUUUCUCUGAAUAAAUUUGCAAUGAAAGUAUCCUCUCUGUUACAUUAUGGCGUUAGAAAAUUGACAUAGUGAAAGAUACCAAUGUUAACAGUCCUUGUCUGAGAAGCACUGAAAGUGAUGUUAAAGUUUCUCAGAUAACUUGUUCAUAAUUAUAUUGCACCUGUUAAUUGUUUGUAUUAGGUUCUUUUUUUUGUAUUAGUUACUUUAUACAAAAUGGUAACUGGGUUUUCUUUCUUUGACCUAGCUAAUGGUAAUGGAACUACCUAUGAUUUUGAAAGUUUCUCAAGGCAUUACAAAAAUGGCCAUUGCGACUUGUAAAAGGCAAUCCUCAUGCUUAAGUCUUUGCAGGAAGUGUAAUCGCAUGGCCUGUCAAAUAUAUCAUGGUGAAUUCGGCUGUCAAUUGAGGUUGCUUCUGUAGAAAAUGAUCCAGGUGGUGGAAGUGAUGUUGAAACAUCAGGACCUGUACAUCCUUAAACCUUGAGGCUGUGAGCAGAAUAUUACAGAGCAAGGAUGAUCUAGCUAGCAUGUUUUAUAUUUGAAUAUUAGUUUAAUUAUACUACGAUUUUGUAAUAUGAAGUUGUUUAAUUGACAUAAUUUACUACAUGAAUGCUCUUGUUUAUUA